GGCGAACGGGUGAGUAACACGUGAGUAACCUGCCCUUGACUUUGGGAUAACUUCAGGAAACUGGGGCUAAUACCGGAUAGGAGCUCCUGCUGCAUGGUGGGGGUUGGAAAGUUUCGGCGGUUGGGGAUGGACUCGCGGCUUAUCAGCUUGUUGGUGGGGUAGCGGCUUACCAAGGCUUUGACGGGUAGCCGGCCUGAGAGGGUGACCGGCCACAUUGGGACUGAGAUACGGCCCAG
Molecule: ribosomal RNA, 236 nt
Filed under: uncultured Actinomycetales bacterium
Lineage: Bacteria; Bacillati; Actinomycetota; Actinomycetes; Actinomycetales
Description: partial 16S ribosomal RNA
Rfam family: Bacterial small subunit ribosomal RNA
Source: RNAcentral